RNAcentral lists this ribosomal RNA (484 nucleotides) under uncultured bacterium. Its description in RNAcentral is "partial 16S ribosomal RNA". It matches the Rfam family "Bacterial small subunit ribosomal RNA", at positions 29 to 507 of the family's 1533-position model. The record is from RNAcentral.
AAUGAACGCUGGCGGCAGGCCUAACACAUGCAAGUCGAGCGGAUGAAGGGAGCUUGCUCCUGGAUUCAGCGGCGGACGGGUGAGUAAUGCCUAGGAAUCUGCCUGGCAGUGGGGGAUAACGUCCGGAAACGGGCGCGAAUACCGCAUACGACCAGAGGGUGAAAGUGGGGGAUCUUCGGACAUCACGCUAUCUGAUGAGCCUAGGUCGGAUUAGCUAGUUGGUGGGGUAAAGGCCUACCAAGGCGACGAUCCGUAACUGGUCUGAGAGGAUGAUCAGUCACACUGGAACUGAGACACGGUCCAGACUCCUACGGGAGGCAGCAGUGGGGAAUAUUGGGCAAUGGGCGAAAGCCUGAUCCAGCCAUGCCGCGUGUGUGAAGAAGGUCUUCGGAUUGUAAAGCACUUUUAGUUGGGAUGAAGGGCUGUAAGUUAAUACCUUGCUGUUUUGACGGUACCAACAGAAUAAGCACCGGCUAACUACGUG